RNAcentral lists this non-coding RNA (20 nucleotides) under Arabidopsis thaliana (thale cress). Lineage: Eukaryota; Viridiplantae; Streptophyta; Magnoliopsida; Brassicales; Brassicaceae. The record is from RNAcentral.
GGUCAUCGUUCUCGUGGUCG